Molecule: long non-coding RNA, 1275 nt
Organism: Eucalyptus grandis
Lineage: Eukaryota; Viridiplantae; Streptophyta; Magnoliopsida; Myrtales; Myrtaceae
Exons: 2
Source: RefSeq, a predicted model, not a curated record
CACGCAGGAGGAGCGGAGGAGGAGGAGAGGGAGGAAUCUAGGCAAAGGACGGGAGGAGGAGUCGUGGAAGAGAGUAGGCAGAGAAAGGGAGGAGGACGGGAAGUCUGAUAAUCGCUAGUGUCAAAAAGGCGCGCGCCGGCUCGGCCCGUUUCGACCCUAAAAUUCGGGCCAAACUUUUUAUCCUCCCCCGUCAUUUUCAUCGUCAUCAUCUCCGUCAUCUCCCUCGUGGAAUCCCCUUUACGAAACCAGAGCCGCGAUUGGCCCCGCGCCACGACGAUCGCCUCGAGCGGAAAGGUCGAAGCUUCGUCACCCGGAUCUCCAUUCCCCCGUUUCUUGAAGAUCGGCAUGGCGACACCGGAUGUCCUGCAGAGCCCAGAUGAGCUCCUCCUGCAAUCUCCCAUCGGCGACGCUCCUCGCGCGGGCGAGAAUCCCAAGUCUCGGGGGCUGUCGAUCGAGAAGGAGAUUGAGUUCCUGGAGAGUUUGACUGGAGCGGUGAGUGAGUACAUUGAGUGAUAAGUGGAGGCAGAAUUCGAGCGUGAAUAUGCAGUUUUUGGGUGUCUUCAUUGUUUGUUUGUCGAUUGGGAUCUGUUGUGUGUCGAGACUGGUUGGCAAGUUCACGUUCCCGUUCUUGAUCAAGUCGUGUGCAGGGUUGGCGAGCGAAGACCUGGGUAUGCAUGUGCAUGCCCAUGUGUGUAAAUUCGGGCCUGCAGGGCACCUGGUGUUGGAGAAUUCGUUGAUAGACAUGUAUGCAAAAUUCGGGAAUUUGGAAGGUGCAUAUAAGGUGUUUGGCGAUAUGCCUCAAAGGGAUGCCAUCUCGUGGAAAUGUCUUAUUUCCGGGCAUGUUAGGUUGGGAGAGAUGACGAGGGCGAGAGAAUUGUUUGGUGUGAUGCUGUGCAAGACUGUCGUCUCUUGGACAAAGGUGAUUUCCGGGUACUCUCAAGUCGGCAGUUAUGUCAAUGCCCUGGAAGUUUUUAGGCAAAUGUAGAUGGUUGGUGUUGAACCUGAUGAGAUAAGUAUUGUAUCCGUCUUGCCAGCUUGUGCACACCUAGGAACUCUCGAAGUUGGGAAGUGGAUUCACAUGCAUGCAGAUUAGCACCGGCUUCUCCACAGGCUUCUCCACACCUAUGUGCACACAGGACUUGUAUAUGCAAAAUGCAGUUGCAUCGAGCAAGCGAGCCGUUUGUUCAAUGAGAUGAACAAGAGGGAUGUUAUUUCUUGGAGCACAAUGAUUUGCAGUUUAGCCAAUCAUGAAAAGUUGAGUGGGAGCCCAAAAAA